RNAcentral lists this ribosomal RNA (253 nucleotides) under uncultured bacterium. Its description in RNAcentral is "partial 16S ribosomal RNA". It matches the Rfam family "Bacterial small subunit ribosomal RNA", at positions 524 to 776 of the family's 1533-position model. The record is from RNAcentral.
UACGUAGGGACCAAGCGUUGUUCGGAUUUACUGGGCGUAAAGGGCGCGUAGGCGGCAAUUCAAGUCAUCUGUGAAAUCUCCGGGCUUAACUCGGAACGGUCAGAUGAUACUGCUUUGCUAGAGUGCGGAAGGGGCAAUCGGAAUUCUCGGUGUAGCGGUGAAAUGCGUAGAUAUCGGGAGGAACACCAGUGGCGAAGGCGACUUCCUGGCCUGUUCUUGACGCUGAGGCGCGAAAGCUAGGGGAGCAAACGGG